Transfer RNA from Monodelphis domestica (gray short-tailed opossum), 69 nucleotides. It matches the Rfam family "tRNA". Rfam says of the family: Transfer RNA (tRNA) molecules are approximately 80 nucleotides in length. Their secondary structure includes four short double-helical elements and three loops (D, anti-codon, and T loops). Further hydrogen bonds mediate the characteristic L-shaped molecular structure. tRNAs have two regions of fundamental functional importance: the anti-codon, which is responsible for specific mRNA codon recognition, and the 3' end, to which the tRNAs corresponding amino acid is attached (by aminoacyl-tRNA synthetases). tRNAs cope with the degeneracy of the genetic code in two manners: having more than one tRNA (with a specific anti-codon) for a particular amino acid; and 'wobble' base-pairing, i.e. permitting non-standard base-pairing at the 3rd anti-codon position. The record is from Rfam. Lineage: Eukaryota; Metazoa; Chordata; Mammalia; Didelphimorphia; Didelphidae.
AAGAAUUUAGCUUAAUUUAAGCAUUUGAUUUGCAUUCAAAAUAUGCAAGAUAAAGACUUUUACUUCUUA